UCUCAGUUUGCACUGGCAGUCUCGUUAGAGUUCCCGACAUGACUCGCUGGCAACUAACGACAGGGGUUGCGCUCGUUAUAGGACUUAACCUGACACCUCACGGCACGAGCUGACGACAACCAUGCAGCACCUUGUAAUCUGUCUUGCGAAAGGCCUGUUUCCAAGCCGGUCAGACUACAUUUAAGCCUUGGUAAGGUUCCUCGCGUAUCAUCGAAUUAAACCACAUGCUCCACCGCUUGUGCGGGCCCCCGUCAAUUCCUUUGAGUUUCAUUCUUGCGAACGUACUCCCCAGGUGGGAUACUUAUCACUUUCGCUUAGCCACUCAGGUUGCCCCGAACAGCUAGUAUCCAUCGUUUACGGCGUGGACUAC
RNAcentral lists this unclassified non-coding RNA (370 nucleotides) under uncultured Flavobacteriaceae bacterium. Its description in RNAcentral is "contains 16S-23S intergenic spacer region". The record is from RNAcentral. Lineage: Bacteria; Pseudomonadati; Bacteroidota; Flavobacteriia; Flavobacteriales; Flavobacteriaceae.